ACUCCUCUGUGGCUCUGGAAGAGCCCGAUUUCCUCAGGAGGCAUGUCGGGCCCCAGGCCUGUGGUGCUGAGCGGGCCUUCGGGAGCUGGGAAGAGCACCCUGCUGAAGAGGCUGCUCCAGGAGCACAGCGGCAUCUUUGGCUUCAGCGUGUCCCAUACCACGAGGAACCCGAGGCCCGGCGAGGAGAACGGCAAAGGGAGGUGAUGCAGCGUGACAUAGCAGCCGGCGACUUCAUCGAGCAUGCCGAGUUCUCGGGGAACCUGUAUGGCACGAGCAAGGUGGCGGUGCAGGCCGUGCAGGCCAUGAACCGCAUC
Molecule: long non-coding RNA, 314 nt
Filed under: Homo sapiens (human)
Lineage: Eukaryota; Metazoa; Chordata; Mammalia; Primates; Hominidae
Description: long non-coding RNA NONHSAT139937.2
Source: RNAcentral